ACAGAGGCCCCGAGCAUUAUCCGGAAUCACUGGGCGUAAAGGGUGUGCAGGCGGUUUAGUUAGUCCUUCGUGAAAGCUUUCGGGCUCAACCCGGAAAACGCGGUGGAAACGGCUAAACUCAGAGGACGCGAGAGGUAGAGGGAACUCAUGGUGUAGGGGUGAAAUCCGUUGAUAUCAUGGGGAACACCAAAUGCGAAGGCACUCUACUGGCGCGCUCC
RNAcentral lists this ribosomal RNA (218 nucleotides) under uncultured prokaryote. Its description in RNAcentral is "partial 16S ribosomal RNA". It matches the Rfam family "Bacterial small subunit ribosomal RNA", at positions 525 to 740 of the family's 1533-position model. The record is from RNAcentral.